AUCCAGCUGACGAGUCCCGAAGAGGACGAAACGCGUUUUCUGGAU
Schistosoma mansoni is the source of this 45-nucleotide non-coding RNA. NCBI's taxonomy places the organism in Eukaryota, Metazoa, Platyhelminthes, Trematoda, Strigeidida, Schistosomatidae. The record is from Rfam.